Molecule: long non-coding RNA, 870 nt
Organism: Clupea harengus (Atlantic herring)
Lineage: Eukaryota; Metazoa; Chordata; Actinopteri; Clupeiformes; Clupeidae
Source: Ensembl
UCUGUGGGAAGUGCGAACUGGGCCUGCAUGGUCACGACGAGUCAGCCGACAUUUUUGAGACGAUGUACGAGGGCGACACCAGGCUGAAAAGACACUACGAUUCGGUCUUCAAACAGCUCGCUCCUCCGCGUCCCCAAAACCAAGCUCUGCACCAUGGGCGACCCGGCCUUUUGCUCGGCAGCGCCACGCUUAUGGAACAGCCUCCCUGACCACCUAAGGGCAACGCAGACGCUGGACUCCUUUAAAGCUGGACUAAAAACAUUUUUAUUCAGGAAGGCAUUUCUGGCCUUGUGUUAAAUCAACUAUGCAUCCCUCUCCCUGUGUGUGAGGAGAAAGGAGGGGCUGAGGUUACCUGAAGUGCAUUCUAUUAGUCUGUAGGAAGGCAAUGAUCGAGAUGAGGAAAUAUAGCCUGACAAUAUUUCCCAGGGAAUUACACCCAUAGGGUGUGCUUGUUUUGAGUUUAAUUUCUCUGCACACACACCAAGGACUCUGAACACUUCAAGCAGGACAACUAUGGGACUGUGUAAGUAGCCUAACCCAACCAACAAGUAUUCAAAUUCAAUCAAUUUGCGUUUUUAUGACAUAUUGAAGUUAAAAUACCCAAUGACUUAAGUACUUGCAUUAUUGUUUGGUACAGUGACUAUUGUGGCAGUAUCGUUGGGAACAAGUUAGUUUAACAAAUUUUUCCUGUAUAUUUUGACAUCAGCCACAUAAAAAAAAUGAUUUAAAUGAAGAUCUGAUGUAGUGUUACUCUAAUAGGUAAUAUGUCAUUUGAAUAGAAAUACUAGCUUGGUACUGCUGGAAUAUUCUCUUCUCUUUAUUUUUCCUCACUAUCUUCUCUUCACUCACAAUAUAAGCACUUUAAUAAAU